RNAcentral lists this small RNA (1998 nucleotides) under Pan troglodytes (chimpanzee). RNAcentral's name for it is "retained intron". The record is from RNAcentral. Lineage: Eukaryota; Metazoa; Chordata; Mammalia; Primates; Hominidae.
UUCUGACUUGAUCUCCUUCCCUGCCUUUCUCUGUUAGAGGGGUGCUAGCAUGUUUAGCCCUUGCUGGUCUUUCACCUGAGGGUACAGCUGAGUAGUUCACACAGCAUGGCCUCCCUCACAGCCACAGCUCUUCAGUGGUGCCUUAAAGUCCUUAGCAAGCCAUGAGGCACCUUCUGUUCAAAGAUGAGUUGUAUUCAAUGCUGCAAAAGAGCAUGACACCCGCUCAGGUGCUGUUCCAGGGAUAGAGGACCCAGUCCUUAACCUCCGCUGUCAGGAGAUGCAGAGGGGAUGUGUAGCCAGAAGGUGGCAGGCAAGGCUGGAGUGAUUCAGUGGGCUGGCCCAGCGAGUUUAGUCCUGCAGCCCAGGAAGGGGCUGUGCUAGGUAAGUGAAGACUGGAAGCCUUUGGCACAAACUCUCUGUCUUCUCCACAGAAAUGAUGAUGCACGUGCAACAGCUGUCUCUUGCGUCUUUAUGUGUGAAAAAACAACAGCCAAAGAAGCCAGAGGGAACAUGUCCAGCAGCAGAGUCAAGAACACGGAAAGUGGCCAGACUGAAGGCCCCGUUCCUCAAAAUCGAAGAUGAAAGCAGGAAGUUUCGUCCUUUCCAUCAUCAGUUUAAAUCCUUUCCUGAAAUUUCUUUUCUUGGACCCAAAGAUGCAAGUCCCUUUGAGGCCCCGACGACCCUGGGCAGCAUUCACCAUACCAGAGAAUCCAAGGAUGGAGAGCCAAGCCCACGAUCAGCUGCCCGCACCAUGCCCAGGAGGAAGAAAGGCUACUGCGAGUGCUGUCAGGAGGCCUUCGAGGAGCUCCAUGUGCAUCUUCAGAGUGCCCAGCACCGGAGCUUUGCCCUGGAAGCCCAUCUAUAUGCAGAAGUGGACAGGAUCAUUGCUCAGCUCAGCCACAGCUUUGCAGACAUCCCUUUCCAGGCUGGCCUCCCCAGGUGGUCAGGUUCCCCAGCUUCUGAUUGUGACCCUCUCUGUCCUGAGACUCUGCACCCCCAUCAGCCCUCCCAUCCCAGGGCAGCAUCUCCCAGGAUAAGGAAAGAAGACAGCUGCCAGGCAUCAGGUAUCCCAGAGCAGGAUGGGACAGUGGACAGCACGCAGGCACCAGCUGAACGUGCAGGGACUGGUGAGGUACCUGGACCUAUAGCAAGCUGCCAGGACCUGGGGGUGUCAGUUGAUGUGUUUGUGGACCCCCCAGGGAUACCAGUGUCCAGGAGCCCUGCUUGCCAAUGCCUCCUGCCUAGCUCUGGUUUUAUGGAACUCUCCUCUGGCCCAGACCUGGCACUUUUUGGCCACAAGCGGAAGGUUCAGUUCCCCAGUGGCAGUGCUGAGAAGAGAGUGGGGGCCUCCUGGCCACCGGCUUCAUUUUUUGUCCCAAUAGCCCCCAACCCCUGCGGCACCAGGACAACUAAUGGCAAGCGUCUUCCCUCUCUUCCCCUUACAGGCCAUGAGUCCAGGCUCCUCGCCUCCCUCCAGCCCUUGUGCCACUCACAGACCUGCCUCUCUCUCCCAGACCCCUUCCCCUGGCAGCCCACAGACAGACCAGCAGAGUUCUGGGCCACACAGCCCUCCUGGCUGGGGAAAGGGUGGCCCCCAGGGCCUGAGGAUUCUGAGUGUACAGCCACUGGCCCUGUAUCCCAGGAGGCUGGCCAGCUCCCCAGCUGCCCCACAGCUCCAGGCUGGCCAUCAGCUCCCCUGUACUCAGCUACCAGUGUGCAGCCCUCGGGAGCACCUGUAGAGAGCAGGUCUACCUCCCUCCUGCAGCCCCUGCCAGCCAGUGCGGGAGCCAGCUGUUCCCGAUGCCUCUGGGCCCCCCAGCCUCUCCAGGUGCCCUGUCUCCCUGUCUCCCAGCCCUGGUCCCAACCCCAGCCCCAGCCCCAGCCCCAUGCUGGCAGAGAGCUGCUCCUAUGAGUCCCCAAGGUGCUUGGCUCUUCACAGGGCCAGGCAGCUCCAGAUUGAAGGGCCACAGAUACAACUUACUCCUCUGCUGGGUGCUG